CACUCCUCCAGUGAGCUUCUGUGGUCAAGUGAGCAUUUGAAUUCUGGUCUCUAGAGUCCUAGUCCAUUCCUGUAUCCACACAAGGUACAUCUCAUCUAAUCUAAUCCUUUGUCAACAGACUUCCCAUAGUUAACUGAAGAAUUUGUUCAGUGACUUCUGGCACACAUCAGCUGAAAUCCGGUAGCAAGUUGCAACUGAAUCAAUGGAAUUUACAGAGGAGCGGACUUACUAGAUCCCCACUGAGUUAAUGGACUUACUCCACUUAUAACUUAUUACUGGAUUUCAGCCAUGAUGUAUGCCUUGUUAAUGCACACAUCUAAUAUCCCAACAGGCCUGUAUCUUGUGGAACCAAUACUGAGUCUGUGGAUUUUAUGAACCUGUAGGUGUAUGUGUAUGAGAGAGAGAAAGAGAGAUCCAUCCUGAAUCUGUAUUGGCCAUUUACUGCAGUUUCUGGUACACCAUUUUUACCUGAGAGAAAAAGAAUUAGGUCAUACCUAUCUUCCAUUUGUGGCGACCCAGAGCCUGAAAAGGACCACUAAGGAAGCCGAUUUUCGCAUCCAUACCAAUUAUACCUCUAUUGGUGGAAGGAACAAACAGAAGCAUCUCUCGUGAGGAUCUCAAGCCUUGAUCAAGCUACUACAAGAGAAUACAGGUAUUAAAAUAGGGUUUAAAGAGCAAAGAUUUCUAUGUCCCACGCACAUUUGCCCAUUUAGCAUCACAAGAAACUUACCAGAAA
Molecule: long non-coding RNA, 736 nt
Filed under: Pogona vitticeps (central bearded dragon)
Lineage: Eukaryota; Metazoa; Chordata; Lepidosauria; Squamata; Agamidae
Description: lncRNA (ENSPVIG00000016507.1)
Source: RNAcentral